Molecule: long non-coding RNA, 1414 nt
Filed under: Nicotiana tabacum (common tobacco)
Lineage: Eukaryota; Viridiplantae; Streptophyta; Magnoliopsida; Solanales; Solanaceae
Description: long non-coding RNA (NTAB_LNC016862)
Source: RNAcentral
UAGGGCAAAAAUCACGUACUUACACUAUGUUGUCAUUAAGGGGUUGAGCUUCCUCUUCUUGCUCACCUACAAUUGUGUAGGUGACGAUGGGGAUCAUGGGAUUUGCUUGUGGAGGCAAGUCAUUAAGCAAACCAUGUCCAACUCCUAUCUGAAGUAGGGGCCCGUUGACUCAAUCAAUUACUGCAUCUGUGCUGCCCCAUUUCCAUUAACCUCCAUUGGUAUAUCAUUCAUGCUCAUUGGAUCUACUCCAAUAUCAGCUAAUUCUUCAAGGUUUGCGACAUCCUCAUAAAUCCAUACAGUUAUGUCUCUAAGCGAAUCCUCCUCCUCAACCUCAACAUCGUGGAGGAUGCCAUCAUCAACCUCAGCACCAUGGACUGCAUCAGUAGCACGAACUCCAUUCCCAUGUCUAUAUAAUCGAUUGACGUCACCAUCAGCAACAUCACUGUAGUGUUCGAAAACAACAUCCAGGUCAGCAUUAGUUACGAUCAUGAUGAUGUAGCCACAUAGUUGGACUGAAUUGAUGAAAGGUGUCACAUCAAUGUAUCCUACUUUUACUUGUCCAAAAUAUCAACAUAAUAUAAUGUUGCUGCUUUGUACUUAUCCACUGCAAGGAUGUAUGAACAAAUAGAGUUUGUCAACCUACUCAAUGCCUUUGUAAGGGAUUACAUUCUUAAUUAUCAUACUUCCAAUUAUGCAAUUUCUGAAAUUUACUCAAUCCCUUUGAGAAACUUUUAUCAUACUUCCAAUUAUGCAGUUCUGCAAUUUACUCAUUGCCUUUGAGAAAUUUUUAUAAUACGACCAGUUAUGCAAUUUCUGAAAUUUACUCAACGCCUUUGAGAAAUUUUUAUUUCCAAAAUUUACUCAAUACCUUUGAAAAUUAUAUUACACACUCAGCCUUUCAAAUGUGUAUCUAAUACACACUACUUUUGUCCAAGUAAGUUGCACGUAAAAGGAGCGCGUGAAGAGUGAAAAUAAUGAGAAUUUAUAGCACUAUUUGAAUGAUGUAGAUUUGAAUAAAUUGAUCUAAUGGUCUAAAUACAUUUUUUUCUUUUUAUCCUUUUCUAUCUUUACUAUUACACAAAAAUACAAAAAGAAAAAGACAAAAAGUUUACCGGCUAAUACCUUCGACCCCAAACCCUCUUCAGGCAAACUGGACCAAUUGGAAGGCUUUAGCAAGAUAUAUACUCCUAUGCUUGGUCUUUAACAUCUCCACCCGUGCUUUCAAUGCCAUGGAUUUUCAGUGUGACUCUCUUCUAUUUCGUCUUUUGUUGGUCGGAAAUGGAGUUGAAACUUCAGCUAGUAAAAGGUUUGGGUAAUAUGCAAGCUAUUGAAUAUAUUCUCCAAUUGAUAUGAAAAAAUGGAGUGUAAUGAUAGAGGAGGUUCUAUCCCCUUUAUCUAUCUGCUACUUACAAAC